This 702-nucleotide ribosomal RNA is filed under the name uncultured Sphingobium sp. RNAcentral describes it as "bacterial SSU rRNA". It matches the Rfam family "Bacterial small subunit ribosomal RNA", at positions 28 to 776 of the family's 1533-position model. Lineage: Bacteria; Pseudomonadati; Pseudomonadota; Alphaproteobacteria; Sphingomonadales; Sphingobiaceae. The record is from RNAcentral.
AACGAACGCUGGCGGCAUGCCUAAUACAUGCAAGUCGAACGAACACUUCGGUGUUAGUGGCGCACGGGUGCGUAACGCGUGGGAAUCUGCCCUUGGGUUCGGAAUAACUUCGGGAAACUGAAGCUAAUACCGGAUGAUGACGUAAGUCCAAAGAUUUAUCGCCCAAGGAUGAGCCCGCGUAGGAUUAGCUAGUUGGUGAGGUAAAGGCUCACCAAGGCUACGAUCCUUAGCUGGUCUGAGAGGAUGAUCAGCCACACUGGGACUGAGACACGGCCCAGACUCCUACGGGAGGCAGCAGUAGGGAAUAUUGGACAAUGGGGGAAACCCUGAUCCAGCAAUGCCGCGUGAGCGAUGAAGGCCUUAGGGUUGUAAAGCUCUUUUACCCGGGAUGAUAAUGACAGUACCGGGAGAAUAAGCCCCGGCUAACUCCGUGCCAGCAGCCGCGGUAAUACGGAGGGGGCUAGCGUUGUUCGGAAUUACUGGGCGUAAAGCGCACGUAGGCGGCUAUUCAAGUCAGAGGUGAAAGCCCGGGGCUCAACCCCGGAAUUGCCUUUGAAACUAGAUAGCUAGAAUCUUGGAGAGGCGGGUGGAAUUCCGAGUGUAGAGGUGAAAUUCGUAGAUAUUCGGAAGAACACCAGUGGCGAAGGCGGCCCGCUGGACAAGUAUUGACGCUGAGGUGCGAAAGCGUGGGGAGCAAACAGG